AUGCCUGUGUGGUGUUCUGUGCCUGGCUGUGCUAAUUACAAACCAACGCGAAAAUUAUUUAUCUUUCACCUUCCUACCUACCAGAGAUUUACACCGAUACUGCCAGUGGCUUGCGGCUAUCAAGAACGAUGCGCCAUUCGGUGACCAAAUAUUAUCAGAGAGAUUUUCAGGUUGAACUGAUGGGGAAUCCAUUUCGACGACAGCAGAGUGGUACAGAAUCUGAUUCCACCAAUACGCGCUUCCAACCCCUAGCUUUGCACAAGGUUAUCUGGAGUCAUUCCACAGUGCCCUGCUGAAAAAUACCCCAAAGCUGCAGCAUUUUGGGUACACAAACAUGAGGGAGCACAACAAGAUUGUGUGACAGAAACCAGCAAGGGACACUGAAAGGAGACAUGCAGUACCAGAAAAUAUUCUGCAAGAGGACCAAACAGUUGGUGGUUAAACCCUACACCACUUUCGGCAGUCUUAUCCAGCUGGCACUUCACCGCAGACAGGACAAGACCAUUUGCCAUAAGCACAAAGUCUCAGCUUCCCCAGCCCACCAUGCCGAACACCAUUGCCAGUGUACCGAAGCCGGAUAAAGGACGACACAGGCAACCUAAUUCUGAUAUUUUUUUCACUAAUUGGUCUUUUGACCAAUCAGAUCAGUUCUGAAAAAGAGCUGAUGUGAUUGAGACCAAUUAAUGGAAAAAAUAUCAGAAUUGGGCUGCCUUUGUAAAUGCAGGCAGUGUGGCUCAGCACAAGACCAUGUAGAACAGGGGUCUCCAACCUUGUUCCUGGAGAGCUACCCUCCUGUAGGU
This is a long non-coding RNA of Coregonus clupeaformis (lake whitefish), 800 nucleotides long. RefSeq lists it as uncharacterized. Lineage: Eukaryota; Metazoa; Chordata; Actinopteri; Salmoniformes; Salmonidae. The transcript has 4 exons. The record is from RefSeq and is a predicted model, not a curated record.